ACAGAGGGGGCAAGCGUUACUCGGAAUUACUGGGCGUAAAGCGUGCGUAGGUGGUUCGUUAAGUCUGAUGUGAAAGCCCUGGGCUCAACCUGGGAAUGGCAUUGGAUACUGGCGACCUAGAGUGCGGUAGAGGGUAGCGGAAUUCACGGUGUAGCAGUGAAAUGCGUAGAUAUCGUGAGGAACACCAGAGGCGAAGGCGGCUACCUGGACAAUUGCUGACGCUCAGGCACGAAAGCGUGGGGAGCAAACAGGA
This 253-nucleotide ribosomal RNA is filed under the name uncultured prokaryote. RNAcentral describes it as "partial 16S ribosomal RNA". It matches the Rfam family "Bacterial small subunit ribosomal RNA", at positions 525 to 777 of the family's 1533-position model. The record is from RNAcentral.